GAUGAACGCUGGCGGCGUGCCUAAUACAUGCAAGUCGAGCGAACGGACGAGAAGCUUGCUUCUCUGAUGUUAGCGGCGGACGGGUGAGUCACACGUGGAUAACCUACCUAUAAGACUGGGAUAACUUCGGGAAACCGGAGCUAAUACCGGAUGAUAUUUUGAACCGCAUGGUUCAAAAGUGAAAGACGGUCUUUCUGUCACUUCUAGCUGGAUCCGCGCUGCAUUAGCUAGUUGGUAAGGUAACGGCUUACCACGGCAACGAGGCAUAGCCGACCUGAGAGGGUGAUCGGCCACAUGGGAGCUGAGACACGGUCCAGACUCCUACGAGAGGCAGCAGUAGGGAAUCUUCCGCAGUGGGCGAAAGCCUGACGGAGCAACGCCGCGUGAGUGAUGAAGGUCUUCGGAUCGUAAAACUCUGUUAUUAGGGAAGAACAGAUGUGUAAGUAACUGUGCACAUCUUGACGGUACCUAAUCAGAAAGCCACGGCUAACUACGUG
RNAcentral lists this ribosomal RNA (497 nucleotides) under uncultured bacterium. Its description in RNAcentral is "partial 16S ribosomal RNA". It matches the Rfam family "Bacterial small subunit ribosomal RNA", at positions 28 to 507 of the family's 1533-position model. The record is from RNAcentral.